Molecule: ribosomal RNA, 433 nt
Filed under: uncultured bacterium
Lineage: Bacteria
Description: partial 16S ribosomal RNA
Rfam family: Bacterial small subunit ribosomal RNA
Source: RNAcentral
GACGAACGCUGGCGGCAUGCCUAACACAUGCAAGUCGAACGAGACCUUCGGGUCUAGUGGCGCACGGGUGCGUAACGCGUGGGAACCUGCCCUUAGGUUCGGAAUAACUCCCCGAAAGGGGUGCUAAUACCGGAUAAUGUCUUCGGACCAAAGAUUUAUCGCCUUUGGAUGGGCCCGCGUUGGAUUAGCUAGUUGGUAGGGUAAAAGCCUACCAAGGCGACGAUCCAUAGCUGGUCUGAGAGGAUGAUCAGCCACACUGGGACUGAGACACGGCCCAGACUCCUACGGGAGGCAGCAGUGGGGAAUAUUGGACAAUGGGCGAAAGCCUGAUCCAGCAAUGCCGCGUGAGUGAUGAAGGCCUUAGGGUUGUAAAGCUCUUUUACCCGGGAUGAUAAUGACAGUACCGGGAGAAUAAGCUCCGGCUAACCCCGUG